Molecule: ribosomal RNA, 1586 nt
Filed under: Aphanostoma nicki
Lineage: Eukaryota; Metazoa; Xenacoelomorpha; Acoela; Convolutidae
Description: SSU rRNA
Rfam family: Eukaryotic small subunit ribosomal RNA
Source: RNAcentral
AUGCAUGUUUAAGUUCAUCUUGCCAAAGUGAAACCGCGGACGGCUCAGUAAAUCAGUCAGAAUUCUUUGAAUUGAAUCAGUAAAAGGAUACCUCAGGUAACCCUUGAGCUAAUACUUGUUUUCGCUUCUUCGGAAGUGCGACUCUAGUUACUUACCUAGACAUACUUUGCGGUAUCGUCUGCAGGGGAGAUCUAAUAAGAGUAUUGACUCCGUUGGUAUAAUUCUCGGAGCGUUUUCUCGAAGUGUCUGACCUAUCAAUUGGACGGUAGUGUCUUGGACUACCAUGGUCCUGACGGGUAACGGGGAAUCAGGGUUCUAUUCCGGAGAGGCAGCCUUAAAAACGGCUACUACACCCAAGGGAGGCAGCAGGCGCGCAAAUUACCCAAUAUCAGAACUGUGAGGUAGUAACGAGAAAUAACAAUACAUCACAUCUGUGUUGUAAUUGGAAUGACAGUGAAGUAAAUUCUCUCUGAAGGAACAAGUGGAGGGCAAGUCUGGUGCCAGCAGCCGCGGUAAUACCAGCUUCCACAAGCAUAUGCAAAAGUUGCUGCGUUUAGAAAGCUCGUAGUUGGUGCUGUUGCGGUUAUUUCAAUUCGGGACACUCUCCCACGGAAUGGCCGUACCUCUGCGUUGCCGCGUUGUUGCACUUGGUUGUGUGAUAACACGGAGGCAGUUUUACCUAGAAUAAAUUAGCGUGUUUAAAGCAGCCUUUGGGUAUGAAUAAUGGAGCAUGGAAUAAUGGAAAAGGAUCUUGCAUUCUUUCAUCGGUUUUUGAUAUGAAGAUAAUGGUUAACAAGAUUGAAUGGGGGCGUUCGUAUUGUUACGUCAGAGGUGAAAUUCUUGGAUCGUAGCAAGACGGUCUACUGCGAAAGCAUUUGCCAAAAGUGUUUUUACUUAUCAAGAACGAAAGUUGGAGUAUUGAAGAGGAUUAGAUACCCUCGUAAUUCUAACCAUAAACUAUUCAAACUCGAUUUGUGCAUGAUCAAAUGUGUUCUGGCAUGAAUUAUCUAGGAAACUAAAGUCUUUCUGUUACGGGGGUAGUAUGGUUGCAAAAUCGAAACUUAAAGGAAUUGACGGAAGGGCACCACCAGGAGUGGAGCCUGCGGCUUAAUUCGACUCAACACGGGAAAACUCACCAGGUCCAGACAUGGUAAUGAUUGACAGACUGAAUAUUCAUCAUGAUACCUUGGGUGGUGGUGCAUGGCCGUUCUUAGUUAGUGGAGUGCUCUGUCUGGUUGAUUCCGAUAACGAACGAGACCUCAAUCAAUUGAAUAAUGUCAGUCCGGCAGCCGCGGUAUUUUCAUCUUCGACAACAUUUGGCUACAGUUGGGCUUGGAAGUUGGGCUAUAACAGGUCUGUGAUGCCCUUAGAUGUCCUGGGCCGCACGCGCGCUACACUGAGUGUAACAACGUGAUUAUUUUGUCCGAAAGGGUCUGGGAAACCAUUGAAAUAUUUCACGUGCUGGGGAUCGAUUUCUGUAAUUUCGAAUCAUCAGCGAGGAAUUCCUAGUAAGCGUCGGUCAGCAUCCGGUGCUGAUUACGUCCCUGCCCUUUGUACACACCGCCCGUCGCUACUACUGAUUGGGU